GUUAUUUUGGCAGAAUAGUGCGUCAGAUUUAGAAUCUGUUUAAGUAAAAAUUUUUUACAUAUAAUAC
This 67-nucleotide transfer RNA is filed under the name Agrilus nagaoi. RNAcentral describes it as "tRNA-Leu". Lineage: Eukaryota; Metazoa; Arthropoda; Insecta; Coleoptera; Buprestidae. The record is from RNAcentral.